GUUCUGGGCUUCUGGCUGCAUUCUAGGAAGAUCAUUCCUUAAAAGAAAUAGCCAUAUGGCUUAUAAGGGACUAUAUCUUAAGACUAUGUGUCUUCUGCAGUUCUUUGCAUAGAGUCAACGUUGAAGGACAAGCAACUUCAAAUUUCCAAGCAACAAAAUUAUGUUCGGGUGGUUUUCUGAAAGCGAGAUCUUAAGAACCACCUGUAUCAGAAUCCCAUGAAGAGCUUGUUUAGUGUGCAAAUUUACAGAUUGUCCCCCCUCAGAAAUGCUCAUUUAGGAGUUCCUGUCCUUUGCGGGGACAUGGAUGAAGCUGGAAACCAUCAUUCUCAGCAAACUAACACAGGAACAGAAAACCAAACACUGCAUGUUCUCACUCAAAAGUGGGAGUUGAACAAUGAGAACACAUGGACACAG
RNAcentral lists this long non-coding RNA (414 nucleotides) under Homo sapiens (human). RNAcentral describes it as "non-protein coding DARS-AS1:17". The record is from RNAcentral. Lineage: Eukaryota; Metazoa; Chordata; Mammalia; Primates; Hominidae.